AUGACUUCUACUUCAGCUAACAACACGUUUCUUCUCAUGGCUGUUUAUGCCCCAUAUCUGAAUCAUGAGAGACGGAGCUUCUUCAAGGCUGUCAGCAGUGUUGCUAGUCCAUCCGACAUGCCCUUGGUGGUGCUGGGCGAUUUUAACAUGUACAGAUAUGCACAUGAGAAAUCCCGGGGUCAGAUCAACUGGAGUAUGAUGGGACUUUUUAACUCAUGGAUUCGAGGUCAUGGUAUGGAUGAUGUUCGGACUGAUAACAGGAUUUUCAUUUGGUCUAACAAGAGAGACCAGCCUACUCUUGUUCGUCUAGAUCAGGUACUUGUCAAUGCAGCCUGGAACCUCAGCUUUCUGCAGUCAACUGCCUCUUGCAUUCCCACAACAACGUCUGGUCAUGCUCCUGUGCUUCUGUCCUUCUCCACGAGCAUGACCAAAAGCAAGUUGUUUCGCAUGGAAAAUCAUUGGCUAGAGUUGGAGGAACCUAGAAACAUCAUCUCUGAAGCUUGGUCUCGAGGUACUCGCGAGAUCCGUUCUGAUGCGUCUCUGAUCAGCUUCAAAAUGAGGUGCGUGUGUGCUGCUUUGCAUCGUUGGUGCCGUUUGAAGCCUAGCCUGCGGGUCCUCUUGGAUAACAAUAAGCAUGUCGUUGCUUAUUUAAAUGAUGUUGAGGAGUUGAGGUCGCUUUCGGCUGUUGAAAUCUCUGGGUUUUUGCUGCUGCCAAGGCUGAACAACUGA
This 729-nucleotide ribosomal RNA is filed under the name Triticum aestivum (bread wheat). RNAcentral's name for it is "partial small subunit ribosomal RNA". The record is from RNAcentral. Lineage: Eukaryota; Viridiplantae; Streptophyta; Magnoliopsida; Poales; Poaceae.